GAGAAAGCUACCAAAGGGCAUACGGUGGAUGUCUUGGCGUCCAGAGGCGAUGAAGGACGUUGGAACCUGCGAUAUGCCUCGGGGAGCCGGUAACCAGGCUUUGAUCCGAGGAUUUCCGAAUGGGGAAACCCGGCCCGUAAGGGUCACUUGCACCCGAAUGCAUAAGGUGUAAGAGCGAACCCGGUGAACUGAAACAUCUCAGUAACCGGAGGAAAGGAAAGCAAAAUGCGACUCCGUAAGUAGCGGCGAGCGAAAGCGGAUAAACCAGUAGCUGCGUGAACGACCUGGAAAGGUCGACCACAGAAGGUGAUAGUCCUGUACUGCAGUAGCUGGCCAGCCCUAGAGUAGCGCGGUGCUCGUGAAACUCCGCGUGAAUAUGGGGGGUCCACCCUCCAAGGCUAAGUACUCCUGGACGACCGAUAGUGAACCAGUAAGGUGACUGAAUGAUGAAAAGCACCCCGAUAAGGGGAGUGAAAAGUACCUGAAACCGUAUGCUUACAAGCUGUGGGAGCCCGCUAGACGGGUGACCGCGUGCCUUUUGCAUAAUGAGCCUGCGAGUUACUCUGUGUGGCAAGGUUAAGUCGAAACACGACGGAGCCGAAGGGAAACCGAGUCCGAAAUGGGCGUCGAGUCGCACGGGGUAGACGCGAAACCGGGUGAUCUACCCAUGGGCAGGUUGAAGGAGGGGUAAGACCCUCUGGAGGACCGAACGCACCUACGUUGAAAAGUGGGGCGAUGACCUGUGGGGAGGAGUUAAAGUCUAAUCAAACCCGGAGAUAUCUCGUUCUCUCCGAAAUAGCUUUAGGGCUAGCCUCGCGUUACAACAUAUGGGGGUAGAGCUACUGGAUGGGGCUGGGGGGCUUAUCGCCUACCCACUCCAACCAAACUCCGAAUACCAUAUGUCUUUGUCGCGGGAGUCAGUCUGUGGGAGAUAAUUUCCACGGACGAAAGGGAAACAGCCCAGACCGCCAGUUAAGGUCGCUGAUCGAACCUCAGUUUCUAAGGAAGUCGAAUUGCUGAGACAGCCAGGAUGUUGGCUUAGAAGCAGCCACCAUUUAAAGAGUGCGUAACAGCUCACUGGUCGAGGAAUUCGGCGCCGAUAAUGAUCGGGAAUAAGGUUCGAACCGAAACUGCGGAAUCGUAAGAUUGGUAGGAGAGCGUUCCUGUCAGCGUUGAAGGCAUCCCGGAAGGGUUGCUGGAGCGGCAGGAAGUGAAUAUGCAGGCUUGAGUAACGAUAAAUGGAGUGAGAAUCUCCAUCGCCGAAAACCUAAGGUUUCCUGGGGAAGGUAAAUCCGCCCAGGGUUAGGCGGGACCUAAGGCGAGGCCGAAAGGCGUAGUCGAUGGACAGCAGGUUAAUAUUCCUGCCCCAUCAUGGAAGGUUGAUCCAGCGUGACGGAUCUUGAAGUUCAACGGGACAGUGAAGCGUCCAGGCCCUAGAGGCCGGUGUUGGGUGGAUAGGUUCCAAGAAAAGCCGUCUGGUGACGACCAUGAUGCCCGUACUAAAACUGACACAGGUAGGUGUGGCGAAAAGCCUCAGGCGCUCGAGAAAAUGGUUGUGAAGGAACUAGGCAAAUUGACCCCGUAAGUUCGCAAUAAGGGGGCCCUACUGGCAACAGAGGGCGCAGACAAAAGGCUCUGGCGACUGUUUAUCAAAAACACAGC
This 1662-nucleotide ribosomal RNA is filed under the name Gemmatimonadales bacterium. Its description in RNAcentral is "partial 23S ribosomal RNA". It matches the Rfam family "Bacterial large subunit ribosomal RNA", at positions 1 to 1819 of the family's 2925-position model. Lineage: Bacteria; Pseudomonadati; Gemmatimonadota; Gemmatimonadia; Gemmatimonadales. The record is from RNAcentral.